Notolabrus celidotus (New Zealand spotty) is the source of this 2822-nucleotide long non-coding RNA. RefSeq lists it as uncharacterized. The transcript is spliced from 4 exons. NCBI's taxonomy places the organism in Eukaryota, Metazoa, Chordata, Actinopteri, Labriformes, Labridae. The record is from RefSeq and is a predicted model, not a curated record.
UUCACUGCACUGCACCUAGCCAUAUCAUAAUUUCAAUAAUACUAAGAUUUAUUUUUUAAGCCUUACAGGGAGCUAUGGCCAGUGGGCUGGGAGCUGUCCCGAAGGAGGUGCUAGGAGCUGGGAUGAAGGAGGUGCUCGAAGCUUGGCUGGAGGAACUGCAAGGAGCUGUUGUGGAGGAGGUGAGCUGAGCUGUGGACACACUAGAGCUCAGGCCAGGAGUCAGAGUGGCAGGGGCAUGGAGAGCUUCCUGGUCCAGCACUGUUGGGUCCUCUGCUGCUUCGGCAAACCCCUCAUCUUCCUCCUCAUUGUCCUCCACAUUAUGCUCCUCCACCAUCUGAGCAGUCUCCUCCGAAUCAGGGUGCAUAUCCUGCAGUGCCUGACCAGUCUGCCGGAACAGAUACUGCAGCCCUAUGAGCUCUCCUGAAACAACAGAGUGAAGCAGGUCACCCGAGUAGCUGCGGAAAGCAGAUGGUCCAGCCGACAGGGCAGCACUACCACGGUCCUGGUUCCACCUAUGGAGUCCUUCAAGCAAGUAAACCUGAAAAUUCAGGCUGUUGGCACUGGUUCCUAGAAGUAAAUAAGUAAACACAAACCUGGGAUGAAGCGGUUGAGGUGCAAAUGAAAGGACUCCAAAGAUGUAGAGCCCCUGGCGCACCUGAAUGUGGGCAACCGCACACCUCCCUUAGUGAGCUCCCCUGUUUUUGUGUAGAGAGACACACCUGGCGGGUCCUGGAUGCAUUUGAUGUGCUUGCUUUGGACAUGCCAGAUGUGCUCCAUCCUGUCCAUGUCAAACAGGGGAACUCCAAGAGAGUCGUUGCCACUGGUCCCCGUCAGCCCCUGCAGCAGCUCCUCCAGCAUCUGGGUGGUGGCCUCUUCACCCCGGGUUCUCCUCCGACAAUGGAGGGCCAGCUCCCCCCUGGACAGAUGCCUGUUGAUGUCCUGAUCUGUGACUGCCAUGCCCUGGGACUGAAGCUGCUGUUUUUUUGCUUCGCGCAACAGAGCUAAAUCAGCUGCAUCCCACUCAAAUAUGCACGCUGACAGGCGUGACAUAAAGACCGGGUACAACUGAUGAGCAUCUGUUGCGCAUCCCAGGGCAAUUCUGCGCAUGAAGUGCCAGAUAUCGAGCCUGACGAUGAGGUCAGGCCACCCACCGAAUCUGGCCUCCAGCUUGGUCUCCCCAGCGUUGGAGCAGCAGCCACAGUCCACAUACAGGGCAACAGGGGGAUGGACACCAGCUUUCUGGUAACGCUGUACCAGGUCUGCUGCCAUCAUGUCCAGGCCAGCUCCCUCCUGAGCGGUCAGCACACUGAUCAGAAUCUGACCAUGCUCAUUCCCCACGGAGGUGAGCCAGAGAGCUGUCCCUUUAGCCGUGCCGGCAAGCUUCUUGGUGAUCUGAAGGGAAAAAAAGAAGUAAAAAAGUGAUUAUUUUCAUGAAUAUUAAUUUACUGUGAGUAGUUAAUAAUAUCAGUUUCUGUAUUAAAGAAUGUGAAAACAAUUUAAACCUUUUUGGUCGAGUCCAUCUUUAAAAUUGUGCCAAAGGUGGAUGUUAUCCUGGCCUUGAUGUCCUCGAGCCUUGUCAAGAUGUCCUGGCUGUAGACAGACAGGAGCCACUUGCAGCUUGGCACCACAGAAGGCUCAGGGGGCUCAGGGAAAGUCAUGGGCAGCAGUCCGGGGCGCUGCUGAAAGUCCACACACUCUGUGGUGUACCUGGCAACCCGAUGCAGCCACUCCUCAGAGUGGUUUUCCAUCAGCUGCUUAACAACCCGUGUUGGACUGUUACCCAGACCUCUCUCCCGCAGGAAGCGGAUCACCCGGAUGUCACAGGCAUAUCUAAGUCAAAGACAGGUGUAUCAGUGGAAUUGUUUUACAUAAUUCUGUUGACAAGGCAAGAGAGAAAAGAUUUAAUACUUACUUCUGGGUCAGGAUCACCCGGAAUUCAGACCUGUGAGCCAAGUCCAGCUGCCUGAGGACAGUUUGGCUCCAAGACACGUGGGUGGCUCUACAUUUGGUGCAGGUCUCAGUCCUGGUACUACUGGAGCACUCUGGGCUGGACUGGAUGGUGGAGCCUGUUGAACAGCUACGGAACCCACCAGAGGACCAGCUGCUACCCUCUGGACAGGGUCCCCUGCUGCUGCAAUCUGUUGCCCCACAGGGCCUUGGACUUGACCCACAGCUGCAGCUGGUUGCCCUCCAGUCCGCGGAGCAACACUUGGUGUGGAUGGCUGUUAUUCCAAGACAGAGUAGACACAGUUUUAAUUGUUGUAGCGACAUACAUAAACAAACACUGUCUCAGAUAAACACUCUCAAUAGUUUUACCUUUGGUUGAUGAAAUCCACAUUGGCACUUCCUCUCUUGCCCAAACAAUGACCUCUGUCCAUGAGUCUGCAUCGGACAUUUCUCAAUCUACAAGCAAUAAUCACACAUUUGAUUGACUAUGGAAUAAUCAUCACAGUGUAUAGCUUAUGGAUCUGAUAGAAAGUUUGCCAAUUUUAUAUUAGUUAACUAAUGAACCUUAUUUUGUAUUUGUUACAAGUUAUGGGUAAAAUGUAUAGGAAGAGUAAAUUGUAUACUGGUCCAUAAAUAAACUCAUACCCUCUGAUACAGCUCAAACCAUUUCUUCUGCCUGGGAGCAGGUCUGUUGCCUUCACCUGCAGGCCAGGACCCAGUGCUGGCAAACCUUCUCAGACGGGACAUCCACUCUGAGUCGGACAUUGCCUUGUGCGAUUUUGUCUUGGAAGACAUUGCCUAUUUUUAACAUGAAUGCAGAUAUUAAAACAUAAAAACAGUAAUAUACAGUAAUUGCUUUAUAUUAAAUCGGGUGC